RNAcentral lists this small nuclear RNA (36 nucleotides) under Cervus elaphus hippelaphus. Lineage: Eukaryota; Metazoa; Chordata; Mammalia; Artiodactyla; Cervidae. The record is from RNAcentral.
AUCACUUCUUGGCCUUUUGGCUAAGAUCAAGUGUAG